GGGCAUCAUAGAGGGUGAUAAUCCCGUACAUGGCUUGGAGCGCCCGAGGCUUUGUGAUACGCUUUCUAAGAGUCGAGUUGUUUGGGAAUGCAGCUCAAAAUGGGUGGUAAAUGCCAUCUAAGGCUAAAUAUUGGGGAGAGACCGAUAGCGAACAAGUACAGUGAUGGAAAGAUGAAAAGAACUUUGAAAAGAGAGUUAAACAGUACGUGAAAUUGCCAAAAGGGAAGGGUAGGAGGUCAGAGAUGCGGCCUGGGAUUCAGCCUUGCUUUUGCUUGGUGUUUUUCCCAGAUUGCAGGCCAACGUCGGUUUUGGGCACUGGAGAAGGGUAGGAGGAACGUGGCACCCCUCGGGGUGUGUUAUAGCCUCCUACUGGAUACAGCGACCGAGACCGAGGACAGCAGCGUACUCGCAAGAGCGGGCCUUCGGGCACCUUUACGCUUAGGGCGUUGGCAUAAUGGCCCUCUACCAC
Molecule: ribosomal RNA, 469 nt
Filed under: Moesziomyces antarcticus
Lineage: Eukaryota; Fungi; Basidiomycota; Ustilaginomycetes; Ustilaginales; Ustilaginaceae
Description: partial large subunit ribosomal RNA
Rfam family: Eukaryotic large subunit ribosomal RNA
Source: RNAcentral